CAGAAUAUCCAUCCUGUUACAUAAUAAAAUCUUACAGACAACAAUAUGUGUCCUACCAAAGUAUAGACUUUGAAUUGAUGGAUCAAAAUCAAGCAUACAAAUUGAUCUAGUCUCUGAUUUGCUUCAACUGAUUUGACAACCUACAAUAAGCAUUUAUCAAUUGAUCAUGUCAUCCUGCUGAUUCUGCU
Alosa sapidissima (American shad) is the source of this 188-nucleotide long non-coding RNA. RefSeq lists it as uncharacterized. NCBI's taxonomy places the organism in Eukaryota, Metazoa, Chordata, Actinopteri, Clupeiformes, Clupeidae. The record is from RefSeq and is a predicted model, not a curated record. The transcript has 3 exons.